RNAcentral lists this ribosomal RNA (388 nucleotides) under uncultured bacterium. RNAcentral describes it as "bacterial SSU rRNA". It matches the Rfam family "Bacterial small subunit ribosomal RNA", at positions 28 to 417 of the family's 1533-position model. The record is from RNAcentral.
GACGAACGCUGGCGGCGUGCUUAACGCAUGCAAGUCGAGCGGUAAGGCCCUUUCGGGGGUACACGAGCGGCGAACGGGUGAGUAACACGUGGGUGACCUGCCCUCAGCUCUGGGAUAAGCCUGGGAAACCGGGUCUAAUACUGGAUAUGACUCCAUGACGCAUGUUGUGGGGUGGAAAGCCUUGUGCGGCUGAGGAUGGGCCCGCGGCCUAUCAGCUUGUUGGUGGGGUGAUGGCCUACCAAGGCGACGACGGGUAGCCGGCCUGAGAGGGCGACCGGCCACACUGGGACUGAGACACGGCCCAGACUCCUACGGGAGGCAGCAGUGGGGAAUCUUGCGCAAUGGGCGAAAGCCUGACGCAGCGACGCCGCGUGAGGGAUGACGGCCU